Molecule: ribosomal RNA, 387 nt
Filed under: uncultured bacterium
Lineage: Bacteria
Description: bacterial SSU rRNA
Rfam family: Bacterial small subunit ribosomal RNA
Source: RNAcentral
AUUGAACGCUGGCGGAAUGCUUUACACAUGCAAGUCGAACGGCAGCACGGGUGCUUGCACCUGGUGGCGAGUGGCGAACGGGUGAGUAAUGCACCGGAACGUAUCCAAUAAUGGGGGGAUAACGCACCGAAAGGUGUGCUAAUACCGCAUACGCCCUGAGGGGGAAAGCGGGGGAUCGUAAGACCUCGCGUUAAUGGAGCGGCCGAUGCCGGAUUAGCUAGUUGGUGAGGUAAAGGCUCACCAAGGCGACGAUCCGUAGCUGGUCUGAGAGGACGACCAGCCACACUGGAACUGAGACACGGUCCAGACUCCUACGGAGGCAGCAGUGGGAAUUUUGGACAAUGGGCGCAAGCCUGAUCCAGCCAUUCCGCGUGAGUGAAGAAGGCC